This 481-nucleotide ribosomal RNA is filed under the name uncultured bacterium. RNAcentral describes it as "bacterial SSU rRNA". It matches the Rfam family "Bacterial small subunit ribosomal RNA", at positions 30 to 507 of the family's 1533-position model. The record is from RNAcentral.
AUUGAACGCUGGCGGAAUGCUUUACACAUGCAAGUCGAACGGCAGCACGGGGCAACCUGGUGGCGAGUGGCGAACGGGUGAGUAAUAUAUCGGAACGUGCCCAAUCGUGGGGGAUAACGUAGCGAAAGUUACGCUAAUACCGCAUACGAUCUACGGAUGAAAGCGGGGGAUCGCAAGACCUCGCGCGAAUGGAGCGGCCGAUAUCAGAUUAGGUAGUUGGUGGGUAAAGGCUCACCAAGCCAACGAUCUGUAGCUGGUCUGAGAGGACGACCAGCCACACUGGAACUGAGACACGGUCCAGACUCCUACGGGAGGCAGCAGUGGGGAAUUUUGGACAAUGGGCGCAAGCCUGAUCCAGCCAUUCCGCGUGCAGGAUGAAGGCCUUCGGGUUGUAAACUGCUUUUGUACGGAACGAAAAAGCCUUCUCUAAUAAAGGGGGUGAAUGACGGUACCGUAAGAAUAAGCACCGGCUAACUACGUG